This 751-nucleotide ribosomal RNA is filed under the name uncultured bacterium. RNAcentral describes it as "bacterial SSU rRNA". It matches the Rfam family "Bacterial small subunit ribosomal RNA", at positions 131 to 877 of the family's 1533-position model. The record is from RNAcentral.
CCCCGGAGGGGGAUAACCGGGAGAAAUCCCGACUAAUACCGCGUAACGCCGCGGGGCUGCAUGGCCCCGCGGCCAAAGGAAGCGAUUCCGGCGGGGGAUGGGCAUGCGGCGCAUUAGCUAGUCGGCGGGGUAACGGCCCACCGAGGCGACGAUGCGUAGGGGUUCUGAGAGGAAGGUCCCCCACACUGGUACUGAGACACGGACCAGACUCCUACGGGAGGCAGCAGUGAGGAAUAUUGGUCAAUGGGCGGGAGCCUGAACCAGCCAAGUCGCGUGAGGGAAGACGGUCCUACGGAUUGUAAACCUCUUUUGCCGGGGAGCAACGGGGUCCUUGCGAGGGCCCAAUGAGAGUACCCGGAGAAAAAGCAUCGGCUAACUCCGUGCCAGCAGCCGCGGUAAUACGGAGGAUGCGAGCGUUAUCCGGAUUUAUUGGGUUUAAAGGGUGCGUAGGCGGGCUGUUAAGUCAGCGGUCAAAUGUCGGGGCUCAACCCCGGCCUGCCGUUGAAACUGGCGGCCUCGAGUGGGCGAGAAGUAUGCGGAAUGCGUGGUGUAGCGGUGAAAUGCAUAGAUAUCACGCAGAACUCCGAUUGCGAAGGCAGCAUACCGGCGCCCGACUGACGCUGAGGCACGAAAGCGUGGGUAUCGAACAGGAUUAGAUACCCUGGUAGUCCACGCAGUAAACGAUGAAUGCUAGCUGUCCGGGGCUUCCGCUCUGGGUGGCACAGCGAAAGCGUUAAGCAUUCCACCUGGG